Molecule: long non-coding RNA, 579 nt
Organism: Meriones unguiculatus (Mongolian gerbil)
Lineage: Eukaryota; Metazoa; Chordata; Mammalia; Rodentia; Muridae
Exons: 3
Source: RefSeq, a predicted model, not a curated record
UUCUCCCUCUGCUUCUCAGUGACUGGCAGCGGCUGCCUGGAGGUUGUGUUAGGAAGGCAUUGUAGGGUACCCUAAGCUGGUUGAUGAAGUGUACCGUGAGGAGCAAUUUGUGAUCCCAAGAAGGCAAAAUUCAUCAAAUAUUUUUCCUAAGAUUAUCUGCAUCUGGAAAAGACACUUACGUGCCCCAGCAAAAUCUUUCAAGCAGUACAAAGAAUACAAUGUGAUUUCAUAUACUACUUGUUUUCUAGUGAACGACAAUGAAUAUAAGGAAAAAUGCACGUUCCCAAUACCUGGCAUGAUCAAAUGUUUUACGUAAUAUGGAUUUAAAAACAACAACAACGAAUCACUCCCCAAGAACCCACACACGUUUGUAACUGAGCAACUUGUAAUCGACCAACAAAGUGUAAGCAAGCAAGGCAAUUUUCUCAGCUAGUUUGUCUUACGGGCAAGCUGCAGUUUGCUGUUACAGAGAAAGGAUCGAUUAUUUUAUUAUUUAUCUUAAAAAGUAAACGUAUAAAAGCCAUAAAAGAAUCAUAAAUCUAAACUUUUAUAUUAAAAAAACGUCAUUUCUACUUUAAA